This is a long non-coding RNA of Callithrix jacchus (white-tufted-ear marmoset), 2563 nucleotides long. The record is from Ensembl. NCBI's taxonomy places the organism in Eukaryota, Metazoa, Chordata, Mammalia, Primates, Cebidae.
CUGUUUCUCUAGAAUUGUAAAAAUAAGGAGGAAGAGGGUGAAAUGCAUUGUAAGGUUCCUUGGCAUCUGAGGAUAAAAUUCUGCUAUCACAACAGAAGGAUUUUUUAUAAUGGCCAAGAAAAAAAAUAUUUUGAAUAUGGAAGAAAGUAUGUAAAAGGUCUCAGGCUUUGUACUUCUUGGUUCAGGGGUAUUUGAAGAGCUGAAAGCAGAAACUGCUUGAAACAACUUCUCUUUCUGGCCCUUCUGAAAGUCUUGAGAAUACUAAGCAAGUGUGUCCCCUGACAAGGAAGAAACUGGAGAAGAGUAGGCCAAAGAAUGUCAGACAGAUGGCAAGAAUUGAGGUUGCUGUAGACCCGUGUGGAUUCGCCACCAGUAACAAAACCAUAAUUACACAGGGAGGGUUUCUUCCAUCAGGCUGGUGGCAUGCUCCUUCUACAGCAGAAUAUGCUGCGGCUUUUUUCUUAUUCUUUUGGCCUUCAGAAGAAAGAGUGCUGCAUGCCAGUGUCUUCAAGUGGAUACUUCUGAGGCCCUUCAGAAAGAGCAAGAAUGGAUCCAGAGAGCUGCUUGGCCUCAGGAUACUCCUUUGGUUCAUCUAUAUUCACCAGGGACAUUCCAGUGUUGUCGUUUUUAAACGAUGGUGCUACCCUCCCCAAAAUAAAGUCACCAUUAAAAUGUAUCCUGGAGAAUUGGGACCAAUUUGACACAUGAUCUUUGAAGAAGAAGUGCCUCAUUUUUCUCUGCAAAACAGCGUGGCAGAGAAAAUACCCCUGCUGAGUGGAAAAACCUGGCCUCCUAAGGGAAGUAUAGAUUAUGACACUAUUCUACAGUUAGACCUGUUUUGUAAAAGUGAGGGUAAAUGGUUUGAGAUCCUCUAUGUGUGACUUUUCUUUUCUCUAAGGAAUAAGCUUUAGCUAUGCAAGGCCUGUACCCCACGUCCUGCUAGGCCCUCCUCAGGACUACCUCCACAUUUGGGAUUCCCUGUGGCUUCUACCUUCACCAAUGCCAACCAGGGCUCCUCAACCCCUAUACCCCAAUGGCAGUUAAGAUGGUGGGAAUUGACUCAUGGAUUCAUCACACUCAGCUGAAACCUUGGACACCUCCUGAAUAAAGUCAUAAACCCUCCACUCCACAGCCUGAAGUUCCAGGAGACAACCUGUGAGCCAUUAGAGGAUCUACAUCUGCUCUUCCGACGAGAUCCCCAGGAAAGUAACUAUUCAUGAGUUUAAUUUAUAUCCUUGCAUUAACAGUAUUAUAACUCUUAACUUUGCUAUCUUGCAAACGCCAAUGAUCCCUUUCAUAGUGGGGGGAAAGUUGAAAAAAAAAAUAGGAAAACUUGGUGCUGGCAAUAGAAUUUACUACCUCUAUUCAGUUACUAUAAGCUACCUCAGGAGUUAAUUAGUAACAUAAAAAUGUUGCUAAUUUACUCUGCAAAACAGCUUAACUCUUUAGCUGCCAUAGCUCUUCAAAGUAGAAGGGCCCUAAAUCUGCUAACAACAGAGAGAGAGAGGGAGCCUGUCUAUUUCUAGGAAGAAAUGCUGCUGCUUUGUAAACCAAUUAACUAUUGUUUUAAACGAAGUUAAAGAACUCAGGAAUCAACUGAACACAGGGCUAAAGACCUUCAAGAAAUAGUUUCAUGGAGCUUGUUUAACAACUAGUUGUCCUGGCUGUACCAUCUCCUAGGACUGUUUAUAAUCAUUCUAUAUUUGUUGGCCUCUGGGCUUUUCAUUUUUAACCUUCUUGUCACACUCGUUUCUUCUAGAAUCGUAAGGUCACAAAUAAUCCUGCCACUGGAACACCAGAUGUCCUUGGCUCAUGAGCUCUAUUGUGGACCUCAGGAUCAACCUGCACCCCUGAAAGGCUCCCCUCUGGAGGAAAACUCAACUGCAGGGCCUCUUCUAUGCCCCAUUUCAGCAGGAAGUAGCUAAAGAGCAAUCGAGACCCGUGUCCCAACAACAGUUGGACUUUCCUGUUCAGAGAGAGGACUGAGGGAAUGUAUUCUCUUCCUGGGUCCACAAGGGGGUGUACUUUCAAAGGCAAGAACUUCCCAGCGCCAUGCCUCCACCCACAUCUCCAUCUGGGAGCUUAGAGUUCUUAGUUUAACUUUUGCGCAUGCAGGAAGAUAAUCAAAGAUCAAUCACUCCAGCAAAAGUUUAAAGGAACUUCUUUCAUAGGACAGAAAGCUUCAAUAGGGUGGGACUGUCUCCCGGUUUAAAAGUCCCCUUCCCCCACAUCUGGGCGGACUCCCUUUCUGGAUCCCCUCUCAUAACAUGUGAGAGUUUUCUCUCUCUUUCUCCUUUCUCUCUCUCUGCCAAAACAAAUCACUUUCUGCAAACUCUUUGGGGUCCAAUAUUUACUUACAAACCCACCACACCUAGCGGGGUCCUCUCCCCCAUUCUUGGGUGAGUGAGGGACAAAGAGCCUGGAAGAACAUAUCCUAUCAGGGAGCUGAGCCUCCCCUGUAUCCCAGAACGUGGUCUCAACAUGAUUCAGUUAAUAUUGAUUUUUAAAACUCAAAACAGAAUUCUUUAUGAAAAUAUUCUAUCUAUAAUGGCUGGAUGUCAAC